This is a long non-coding RNA of Gorilla gorilla gorilla (western lowland gorilla), 430 nucleotides long. RefSeq lists it as uncharacterized. The transcript has 3 exons. Lineage: Eukaryota; Metazoa; Chordata; Mammalia; Primates; Hominidae. The record is from RefSeq and is a predicted model, not a curated record.
CAAGCCACCCACCUCAACCUCCCAAAGUGUUGGCAUCACAGGCAUGAUCCACCACACUCAGCCUUGAAACCAGAUUUAAAUAUCUCAGCCCAGACAGUGUCUUAACAGAAACAGAACAGCUGAGGCAAAAAAGGAAGAUUCUCUUAGCCCAAAGUCAGUGCCCUCAUCCAAACUACUUAAUUGUGAUCACCAGUACCUUGUGUCUUUAGCCAAAUCUGAAUUAAUCUGUUCAGAAUGAACAAGCAGAAUAGUCUUUGGAUUUGAUCCAAAUCCCUGAAGCACUUUGGGAAUGAGAAUGGCUAUACCAGACAGAGAGACCCUGGCGACUUAUGAUACUGCAGAACACAACAGGCACUUCAGAUUGGUCCCAGUUAAGUUGAGGGAGAGCAGUGAUAUUGAGCAGUCAGCUAAAGAAACAAAGCUGUAGAGG